Molecule: transfer RNA, 417 nt
Filed under: uncultured marine alpha proteobacterium
Lineage: Bacteria; Pseudomonadati; Pseudomonadota; Alphaproteobacteria
Description: 16S-23S intergenic spacer region
Rfam family: tRNA (bases 100-173)
Source: RNAcentral
UCUAAGGAUGAAUGAAAGUAAAAUUUCAUUCUAAAUAAUAUACAUCGGUAAUGUUGACCGUCCUCAUUUCUCUUCUUAAAGUAAUGUUUCCUUCUUGUAGGGCCGGUAGCUCAGUUGGUUAGAGCACACCCUUGAUAAGGGUGGGGUCGAAAGUUCGAGUCUUUCUCGGCCCACCACACUUAACUCUGGGGGAUUAGCUCAGCUGGGAGAGCGCCUGAUUUGCAUUCAGGAGGUCAGCGGUUCGAUCCCGCUAUCCUCCACCAAGAAACACUUAGUUAUUUAAUUUGUGAAUAAAUUUUUAAUAUUAUCAAUAUCUAUAUCCGAUUGUUCGAAUAGAUGAACAAUCAAAGAAUGUUCGAAUAGAUGAACAUUCCAACAAAAUUUGAUUCUACACAGAAUUUUUUUCUGUGCAUAAAU